CGGUGGAGCAUGUGGUUAAUUCGAUGCAACGCGAAGAACCUUACCAGGUCUUGACAUCCAACGAAUCCUUCUGAAAGGAAGGAGUGCCUUCGGGAGCGUUGAGACAGGUGGUGCAUGGUUGUCGUCAGCUCGUGUCGUGAGAUGUUGGGUUAAGUCCCGCAACGAGCGCAACCCUUGCUAUUAGUUGCUAACAGGUUAAGCUGAGCACUCUAAUGGGACUGCCGGUGACAAGCCGGAGGAAGGUGGGGAUGACGUCAAAUCAUCAUGCCCUUUAUGACCUGGGCUACACACGUGCUACAAUGGAUGGUACAGAGAGCAGCGAGGCAGCGAUGUGGAGCGAAUCUCAAAAAGCCAUUCUCAGUUCGGAUUGGAGUCUGCAACUCGACUCCAUGAAGUCGGAAUCGCUAGUAAUCGCGGAUCAGCACGCCGCGGUGAAUACGUUCCCGGGCCUU
RNAcentral lists this ribosomal RNA (452 nucleotides) under uncultured Syntrophomonas sp. Its description in RNAcentral is "bacterial SSU rRNA". It matches the Rfam family "Bacterial small subunit ribosomal RNA", at positions 930 to 1382 of the family's 1533-position model. Lineage: Bacteria; Bacillati; Bacillota; Clostridia; Eubacteriales; Syntrophomonadaceae. The record is from RNAcentral.